This 626-nucleotide long non-coding RNA is filed under the name Elaeis guineensis (African oil palm). Its description in RNAcentral is "long non-coding RNA (EGUI_LNC072901)". Lineage: Eukaryota; Viridiplantae; Streptophyta; Magnoliopsida; Arecales; Arecaceae. The record is from RNAcentral.
AUGUGUGCUUUGUUGAUUUGCUUAGUGAAGGUGUUGGUUAGGCGUUUACUGGUACUCUAUCUCUAACAUGUCUCGUCAGCAUUUAUUGUUGGAUAUUCUAUGAUAUGAAGUCCUGUAACCAAAUAAAGAACGGCAAUGGCAUUUAAGAGAUGCAUAAAAGAUUCUGGUUCACAGGAAUGCGUCCUCAUUGUAUUUGUGCUUGUCUCAUUCUUAUAUCUGUACCUGGCGAUAUGAUUCUUUUGUAUCCUCUCAUCGUGCAUUUGAGAAUACAUGAAUCAACUACAAGUCUAGAGACCAGGCUUUGGGAAAACUGCAAGGGAAGGAAAGGGGAUGUCUCAUUUUAUAAACUGUGUUCAUUAACAUAUGUGGAAAUACUUAACUACUGGAUAAAUGAAAUUCAAUACAUCUGUUGGUGAAUCUGAAUGUAUGCAUGUGAUGUAUUAAAAUGUUGAGAACAGAUCUCCUGUUGAAUUUAUAACUCGGAAUAAAAAGGCUAUAGAAAUGCACCCUGUCCCAUGCAUUUUGGGCACUAGCCAUCUUAGGGGAGGGAGAGAUUGUAGCUGCAAGACCCAGAGGUUCACCAUUUAUCCCAUGUAUUUGAGGAACCAGGAUCCAAGUAAGAGAGC